Mastomys coucha (southern multimammate mouse) is the source of this 132-nucleotide small nucleolar RNA. RefSeq annotates it as small nucleolar RNA SNORA17. The transcript has a single exon. The record is from RefSeq and is a predicted model, not a curated record. NCBI's taxonomy places the organism in Eukaryota, Metazoa, Chordata, Mammalia, Rodentia, Muridae.
CCUGACCCUAGAGUCCUUCCUUGCAGGUGUGGCUGCUGUGACAUGUGCAUCAGUAGGUGGCAGAGAGAAGAGAGACCAUGUCAUGCUGUGGGUUCUGACCUAUGACAUCAGAAUGAUUAGUAGUCUAAUAUU